CGAGGCUGAACCACAAAGUGAAAGGAUUUUCUUAGCUUGUGAGAUUUGCCACUUGGACUGGACUAUAGGGAGACUGGAAUCAAAUUGUGUGAACCCUUUCCUGUGGAGAGACCACUGUUUGUUUUCUACAAAGGAGAAAGGCCCUAACAUGGCAUUGGUCUUCAGCUUGUCCACUCUCAUGUUUCUCCUCAUCACUGGGACGGAGACAUCCAAAAUCCUGAAGCAGGUCAUCCAGGUGGACUCUGGGAAGAAUACAGUGCUCUGUGAACUUCAAUGGGAUAUCUCCUGGUAAUGUUAACAUAGAGCUGGUCGUGUGGUGGAGGUUGGACUAGAAUGGUCUUCGCAAAGGUGAACCUGUGUUCAAAUACAACCUAUCCAAUCAACAAUCCUCAAAUCCCAGGAUGCCACUGAGCCCAAAAUAUCAGCUUCCCAUACCACCUGCCAAUGAGAAAGACAAAGUUGUGUCCCUGUUGGUCAAAGAAACCCAGCCUGAAGACGAGGGUCCGUAUGAGUGUGUGGUGAACACUUGACAGUGGAAUCACAAAUUGUAACUUCAUGCUGAAUGUCACAGGUAACCUCAACAGUACAAGACCAGCACUGAAAAGGAGAUUCCAAAGAACAGUUACAUGAGUGUGGCUGCUGUAUGUGUGGUAGUAGGCUCUCUUGCCAUUGGACUGCUGCUUCUCAAGCUGUUUCAAGCCAGAAGACUCAGACAAGGACAAUGACCCAAAAAGCACCCCCAAGCUGUGUAAGGACUAUUUGACCAAGAAGGAGA
This is a long non-coding RNA of Oncorhynchus gorbuscha (pink salmon), 775 nucleotides long. RefSeq lists it as uncharacterized. Lineage: Eukaryota; Metazoa; Chordata; Actinopteri; Salmoniformes; Salmonidae. The record is from RefSeq and is a predicted model, not a curated record. The transcript is spliced from 5 exons.